Nasonia vitripennis (jewel wasp) is the source of this 1260-nucleotide long non-coding RNA. RefSeq lists it as uncharacterized. NCBI's taxonomy places the organism in Eukaryota, Metazoa, Arthropoda, Insecta, Hymenoptera, Pteromalidae. The transcript has 2 exons. The record is from RefSeq and is a predicted model, not a curated record.
GACUGUCAGAAUUACACCCGCACUGGGUAUAUCGUCCUCGACUAUACGCAGGCACGUCCGGGUUGUUGGAUAAACCGGGUGGAGAGGCUCUUGGGGGUGUCGUUGUGCUAAACUGGUCGUUCGAGAGCACAUGGAUCACGGGCGGCUACUCGGCAACGACGACGUGUGUGAAAUUCGAUUUCAACUGCUUGUGCGCGCUCGCAGCCCCUCAAUCAUCCGCGCGAAGGAACUUUCAAGAUGGCGGCUUGUAGCUUUUCAAGCGCGCGCACUUUGAAAAGGUCGGUGAGCAUAAGAAGAAAUAAAAUAAAACUAAUGACAUUUGACACAGGAGCAUCGAAAUUGAAGGAUAAUGUGUAGGAAAUUUAGUUGAAAAGACAGAUUGUAUUUCGUUAAAUCUUUAAACGAAUUCAAAAAUGAUUUUAUUGAGUGAAAAUUAAGUGGCCCAGAAUAAACUAUUGUGACUUAUAAUACGAUUAAUCUUAAACCACUUCAUCUUUAACUUGUUUUUCACUAAACAGCAAGAAAAGUUAACAUACUACGAGUGGUUCGUUUUCCUUGUCAAACUUAUUGGCUGCCAACAUUUUUAUUUAAACAUCAUACUCUGGUGUCUUGCGUCGAGAUUUCUAUAUGAUUAUUUAUUAUUUUUUCAUUUAUUCUUUACUUUUAUCACGUGGUUGCGGCGAUGGCCAUAGUAGUACGACGAUAUAAUUGUAGUAGUAGCAAUUAAUAAUUCAUAAAUCAUUGUCUUUCAAAAUUAUUUUACAUCGAUAUAUUAUUCAAUAUAAUCCAUUUCAUAUAUAUUUCUAUAUUAAUAUAGACUUCUAUCUGUUUUUUUUUCUCGAUUAAAUUUUUCUCAAUAUUUUUUUCUUCGCUCAUUCUCGCAUUUAUCUCGCUUAUUAAGGAUCUUCAUUAAAACCUCUUUUAUAAUUAUAUCGCACAUGUCGCGUUUGCCAGACAAAAAAAACGCGUGGCAACGCGCGCGAGAAAAACACUUAAUCAACCAGACAAUAAUUUUUUUUCAUUCUUUUCGUUAUUCAUUUUUGUUUUCUUCAUUAUUAAUUAUAAUUCACGACUCUUCGCUGCCACUUGAUACAAUAAUGAUCACGCGCUUUUGCUUCGCUCCGUCGUUCACUAGCGCAGAAAAUAACCGCAGCGCGCAAGGCAUGUUAAAAACGCUAUACGCUUUGCUUACUCUUGUUUCUUUCUCCGUAAGAACUAAGUAGAGAGAGAGUGAUUGACAUUUAAAGAAACCAAAAAAAA